AACCAUUCUCACCUGCGGCUAGACCUGCGGAAGGAUCAUUAUUGAUUGAUAAAGGGAUGUGCUGGCAAAAAUUCUAUUUUUGCAAUGUGCACUCCUGAAAUCUUCAUCCACUUUGUGCACUUUGUAGACAAAGUUGCUUUUUGUGACUUUUGUCUAUGCUUUUUAAUACACAUUCAUCAGUAUUAAAUAAUUUUUCUGACUGGUUAAAGUCAAAAAUUUUGAUACAACUUUUAACAACGG
Molecule: unclassified non-coding RNA, 240 nt
Filed under: soil metagenome
Description: partial contains 5.8S ribosomal RNA, internal transcribed spacer 2, and large subunit ribosomal RNA
Source: RNAcentral